RNAcentral lists this ribosomal RNA (492 nucleotides) under uncultured bacterium. RNAcentral's name for it is "partial 16S ribosomal RNA". It matches the Rfam family "Bacterial small subunit ribosomal RNA", at positions 29 to 507 of the family's 1533-position model. The record is from RNAcentral.
AGUGAACGCUGGCGGUAGGCCUAACACAUGCAAGUCGAAUGGCAGCACAGUAAGAGCUUGCUCUUACGGGUGGCGAGUGGCGGACGGGUGAGGAAUACAUCGGAAUCUACUUUUUCGUGGGGGAUAACGUAGGGAAACUUACGCUAAUACCGCAUACGACCUACGGGUGAAAGCAGGGGAUCUUCGGACCUUGCGCGAUUGAAUGAGCCGAUGUCGGAUUAGCUAGUUGGCGGGGUAAAGGCCCACCAAGGCGACGAUCCGUAGCUGGUCUGAGAGGAUGAUCAGCCACACUGGAACUGAGACACGGUCCAGACUCCUACGGGAGGCAGCAGUGGGGAAUAUUGGACAAUGGACGCAAGCCUGAUCCAGCCAUACCGCGUGGGUGAAGAAGGCCUUCGGGUUGUAAAGCCCUUUUGUUGGGAAAGAAAAGCAGCAGGUUAAUACCCCGCUGUUCUGACGGUACCCAAAGAAUAAGCACCGGCUAACUUCGUG